GAAACCCUGAAAAAAAAUGGAAGUGAAACCUAGGUGAUGAAAAUGAGAAGCCCAAAGAUCUAAGUUCACAUCAAAUCUAAGAAAUGGUGUAUGCAUGCUCCACAUGGGCACAAUGGCUGACACACAUUGAUGCACAUGAACACAAAGACUUUGCUUUGGGGAGAACAGGAUUUCCACAAUAAGCACAACUGCACUAUCAGAUUUUUAUGUAUUUAUUUUGAAAGGAUUUAUUGCAGACACUGUCCCAAAAGAUUAUAAAAUAAACUCUCAUUUGAUUUUUUAAAAUAAUUUUUUGCUUUCAUAUUACUCCACUUGGGCUGCUGUAACAAAAUACACAGAUUGAAUGGCUUAUACAAUGGACAUUGACUUCCCACAGUUCAGGAGCCUGGGACACCAAGAUCAAGGUACCAGAAGGGUUGGUUUCUGGCAAGAGCUCUCUCCUUGGCUUGCAGAUAGCCAUCUUCCCUGUGCACCUGCUUUCCUGGUGUCUUUUCUUGUGCAUGUGAAGACAGCAUUCAUAUUAGCUUAGGGUCCCCCAUCAUUUGACGAUAAUUACUUUCUGAGAAACCUUGUCUCCCAACAUAGUCACAUUGAGUAUUAGGACUUCAACAUAAAAUUCUUUUGUUCUGUUGGUAGUACUGGAAAUUGAACCCAGGGGUGCAUUACCACUGAGCUGUCUCCCCAGCCCUAACCCAACCUUUUUAAAAUUUUGAAAUGAGUUCUCAUUAAAUACUAAGGAUGCCCUCAAAUUUGUGUUCCUCUUUCCAUAGCCUUCCAAGUCACUGGGAUUAUAGGUGUCAGCUCAACAAAGGAAUUGAGAGGGGACACAAUGCAGUCCAUUGUAACAACCUUCAAGUGUGAAAGGACCACUAUGAAAAAAUUAUAACUGGACACAUACCCCAGAAGUUAGGAAAAACAUGAAGAGUAAUCAGAAGACAGAACUUAAGUAGUAAACAAGUGAUUCUGAGUUUAAGACCAAACUCAUACCAAAGGUGCUCUCUCAUUGUGCAGAGGAGGGGUG
This 1021-nucleotide long non-coding RNA is filed under the name Marmota monax (woodchuck). Lineage: Eukaryota; Metazoa; Chordata; Mammalia; Rodentia; Sciuridae. The record is from RNAcentral.